Molecule: long non-coding RNA, 950 nt
Organism: Gavialis gangeticus (Gharial)
Lineage: Eukaryota; Metazoa; Chordata; Crocodylia; Gavialidae
Exons: 3
Source: RefSeq, a predicted model, not a curated record
UGCUUUACACACUUAAUCAACUAGAUCUGGAUUUAUUGGAAGAACAUAAAUAUAAAUAAUGAACCUUGUAUUAUUAUCAUUAUUGCCAUUUUUUAAAGAGUCAUUUUCCUGACUUCAACCACAAUUUUAUGUUACAUUUGGGGGAGACAGAGAGGACUGCAACAAAAUUUGGUUUCAGCUUUAAAAAAAAAAAGAACAGAAAAGAAAACAAACCUCAACAUUUUGGGAUACUUGUAUCCAGACUUUUGAUCUGUCCCAUGAUUUAAAUAAAGACCGUUUAUAACAAACGCUGAGAUCCACAGUUGGCUUUGAUUUUGGAAUCUUGGAUCGGGCCCACUAGGGAACUAAAGAAUAUAACAUUGUAAAAAUAAUUGGGGUUUACUCCCUCCUCCCAACACAUACCAUAUUCAAGUUAGGAAAUGAGGAGAGCAGAAGGCUGUCUUUCUUGGCUAAACCUUCCGACUAGCCAUCCUUAUUUUCCAAUUGUCAAGUUGCAUUUCUCUAGACUGAAAGCUGGGAUAAAAGAAUGAGUGAAUAACUGGAUCCUUUUCAUCCCUGAACACUUCAAGUGUACAAAGGCAAAGAAGUUUCUCCCUGUGGUGCCCUUGAGCAGCCCGGAGCUCUUCUCAAAUGAUAUAAGAGGAAUCUUCAUGCAAGUUUUCCAAUAUGAAUCUGUUUAUGGCCCCUUGGUUAAUAGAUGCAAGAUGGGACCCCCAGAGUAAGAAGAAAGAAUUCUGUGCAUCUUAGCCAGCUGCUGUUUCUCACCAGUUCCCACACUCAUCCACUUGUUCUCUUGUCAGAUGCCCUGAAUGUGCUCACCUCCUGACACCGACUGAAUUGCACAAAGACUGAAUGUGUCUUACCUUGAAGAACCAAACCAGAUUUCUCAAUGGUGUAGAGGAAAGCUGAAAAUGGAGCAACAGGGGACUUAGCAACCAGGAUCUGCAGAA